This 1509-nucleotide ribosomal RNA is filed under the name Helicobacter pylori. RNAcentral describes it as "bacterial SSU rRNA". It matches the Rfam family "Bacterial small subunit ribosomal RNA". Lineage: Bacteria; Pseudomonadati; Campylobacterota; Epsilonproteobacteria; Campylobacterales; Helicobacteraceae. The record is from RNAcentral.
UUUAUGGAGAGUUUGAUCCUGGCUCAGAGUGAACGCUGGCGGCGUGCCUAAUACAUGCAAGUCGAACGAUGAAGCUUCUAGCUUGCUAGAAUGCUGAUUAGUGGCGCACGGGUGAGUAACGCAUAGGUCAUGUGCCUCUUAGUUUGGGAUAGCCAUUGGAAACGAUGAUUAAUACCAGAUACUCCCUACGGGGGAAAGAUUUAUCGCUAAGAGAUCAGCCUAUGUCCUAUCAGCUUGUUGGUAAGGUAAUGGCUUACCAAGGCUAUGACGGGUAUCCGGCCUGAGAGGGUGAACGGACACACUGGAACUGAGACACGGUCCAGACUCCUACGGGAGGCAGCAGUAGGGAAUAUUGCUCAAUGGGGGAAACCCUGAAGCAGCAACGCCGCGUGGAGGAUGAAGGUUUUAGGAUUGUAAACUCCUUUUGUUAGAGAAGAUAAUGACGGUAUCUAACGAAUAAGCACCGGCUAACUCCGUGCCAGCAGCCGCGGUAAUACGGAGGGUGCAAGCGUUACUCGGAAUCACUGGGCGUAAAGAGCGCGUAGGCGGGAUAGUCAGUCAGGUGUGAAAUCCUAUGGCUUAACCAUAGAACUGCAUUUGAAACUACUAUUCUAGAGUGUGGGAGAGGUAGGUGGAAUUCUUGGUGUAGGGGUAAAAUCCGUAGAGAUCAAGAGGAAUACUCAUUGCGAAGGCGACCUGCUGGAACAUUACUGACGCUGAUUGCGCGAAAGCGUGGGGAGCAAACAGGAUUAGAUACCCUGGUAGUCCACGCCCUAAACGAUGGAUGCUAGUUGUUGGAGGGCUUAGUCUCUCCAGUAAUGUAGCUAACGCAUUAAGCAUCCCGCCUGGGGAGUACGGUCGCAAGAUUAAAACUCAAAGGAAUAGACGGGGACCCGCACAAGCGGUGGAGCAUGUGGUUUAAUUCGAAGAUACACGAAGAACCUUACCUAGGCUUGACAUUGAGAGAAUCCGCUAGAAAUAGUGGAGUGUCUAGCUUGCUAGACCUUGAAAACAGGUGCUGCACGGCUGUCGUCAGCUCGUGUCGUGAGAUGUUGGGUUAAGUCCCGCAACGAGCGCAACCCCCUUUCUUAGUUGCUAACAGGUUAUGCUGAGAACUCUAAGGAUACUGCCUCCGUAAGGAGGAGGAAGGUGGGGACGACGUCAAGUCAUCAUGGCCCUUACGCCUAGGGCUACACACGUGCUACAAUGGGGUGCACAAAGAGAAGCAAUACUGCGAAGUGGAGCCAAUCUUCAAAACACCUCUCAGUUCGGAUUGUAGGCUGCAACUCGCCUGCAUGAAGCUGGAAUCGCUAGUAAUCGCAAAUCAGCCAUGUUGCGGUGAAUACGUUCCCGGGUCUUGUACUCACCGCCCGUCACACCAUGGGAGUUGUGUUUGCCUUAAGUCAGGAUGCUAAAUUGGCUACUGCCCACGGCACACACAGCGACUGGGGUGAAGUCGUAACAAGGUAACCGUAGGUGAACCUGCGGUUGGAUCACCUCCUUUCUAGA